AGACACUACUGUGCGUAGGAGCGAUGACACAAAGACAACUGUGUGGGAUGGAGGCUGGCACACGGUCAUCUGUUUUGGUUUCAAUUGAGGACGGACAGAUAUUGAAAUGCCCAACUUAUUGUACCUAGGUGCCAAAGGAGAUGAUGGAAAUGUCAAAAGGUCCUGCAAGGGAACCCAUGCUGAAAAUCAUGUUUCCAGCACAGAGAAAAUUAAAAUAUACUUAGGGUGCUUUCAGGGAAUUUUUUUUAGUCACCAGGUAGCUUUAGGUUAUUUGAUCAGCUACACCUGGAUCUUGUCUUGAUGCAAAAACUUAAACAAAUAUUUUUGUCAGCAGAGAAGAUGCCUCCAGUAACAAAAGGCACAUUUGAUGCGUGCUUUUUUUCCUCUAUGUUUCAAUUUUCUGUGUCAAAUCCAUACAGUCAGAAGAUCUGGAUAUCCUUUCUUCAGAUUUUCAGCUAACUGCAGUGUGUAAAAUAAUGCCAUGCCAAGAUUAUCUGUACUGAAGAUAUGGUAUGAUGAAAGCUGGUUCUGUAAAAAGAUUUCUUAGGAAAGGCACUCUGCAAACUUUAACAGAUCUCUAGAACAUCCUGUGUCAAACACAGCGUGCUGAGAUUUUGUCCCCCCCUCCCAAAAUAUGGCUACUGUUAACUGAGUGGUAAUUUCAGUGUCUUCUCUUUCAUCAGCUGAAUGUCAAGAUGAUGUCUAUAUUUCAUGUACAUCAAGUGAAUGGGGAAAUUUUCUCUGUGGAUAUCUUUUCUGCUUUUUAAUAAAUUCUUUCUUUUGCCUGAAGAGAAUUAGAAGCUGGCUUUUGACCUCCAUUAAUUUUUUUUAAU
Non-coding RNA from Cyanistes caeruleus (blue tit), 833 nucleotides. The record is from RefSeq and is a predicted model, not a curated record. NCBI's taxonomy places the organism in Eukaryota, Metazoa, Chordata, Aves, Passeriformes, Paridae.